RNAcentral lists this long non-coding RNA (1095 nucleotides) under Anas platyrhynchos platyrhynchos (common mallard). RNAcentral's name for it is "lncRNA (ENSAPLG00000025565.1)". Lineage: Eukaryota; Metazoa; Chordata; Aves; Anseriformes; Anatidae. The record is from RNAcentral.
GGAUGGCAAAGGGAAGGCGAGACCUCAGCGCUGCGGGGAGCGGUCAGCACCCCUGGGUGAGGCGAGGCACCGGCCUCCCUCCUCUCCCUGGCAGACACCUUGUCCUCCCGCAGCGGGUGAGCACGUUUCCUCCGGGGAGCCCUGCUGUCCGGCGGCCCCCGCCCUGCCACUUUGUUUUCUUCCUGAGUUGAGAAAGUGAACGGCCUUGGGUACCCUGCCGGAGGCACUCGCGGUCACCGAGCAGCCCAGGAGCACGGCGGCCUGGGACAGGCUCCCCACCACCGUUAUAAACAGGGAACCAAAGCUGCACCAGGAACGGACCCAUCACAAGGUGAGCUCCCAUGCUCACAUGUCAUUUUGAUUCAAGAGACUUUCCUCCUGCUGUGGCUCUGGCUUCUGUCCUUCAGUUCACGGCCUCCCCAGCAGCUCUGGGGGACACCAGGACAGCGGCCAAGGCAGGCACAGGGGGGUUCCUCCAGCCACACUGUGGCAAAAUCCUUCAGCAUCGAGACACUUAAACCAUCAGAGGUGAUUUCAGCUGUCGGAUGUGACAGCAGCACACCGCCUGCAUCCUCGGCUGAGCUUUUGGCAGAGGAAGGCCCUGCUGCUCCACACCUACAGCAGGAGCCGUGCAGUCACCAUGAGAGCAGGGCAGCACCCCAGAGUUCACAGCCACCCCUCCAUCCAGGGCAGGAGCCACUACCAGCAAAAAGGAACCACAAAAAGCAGGCGUUUGGGUACAGGGGCUGCUGCCCAGGGUGUGUAAGAGCAAGGAGCCAGCCCCAAGAUGCUGGUCCUGGUGACCGAGGCAUUUGCAGCCUCCUUAACCGAUGGCUCCUGCAGCGAGGACAGGCAAGGACAGGGGACUACUGCUGGGCAUUGACCUCCAGCAGGAAGGGAAAAGCCAAUUUCCACCCACAGCAGCAGCAGCACGCUGCGUGUGGCGGUGCCACGAGCAUCACUGCCCUGGAGUAACCAGAGCAGAGGCCAGCACAGGGAGAACAGAGCAGCCUGCCUGCCCCCUACACAAGGCCACGCUGUGCUAGCAUCAGGCAGGGCAGGUUUAAAAACCCGAAGAAAGGUUAAGCUCCCAAG